GAUCUUUAUAUAAUUUAUAGUUUUUAUAUAAUUAAGUUAAUUUUGUUUUUAAAAAUUAUAUUAUAUUAUAUUGGGGUAAUAAUAAAAUUGAUGAAAUUUUUGUUUUUUAAUUUCAAAGAUAAUUGAUUUUUUGAUCCAGUAUUAUUGAUUAUAAAGUUAAGUUACCUUAGGGAUAACAGCGUAAUGAUUUUUGAGAGUUCUUAUUGA
Molecule: ribosomal RNA, 207 nt
Filed under: Nyssomyia sylvicola
Lineage: Eukaryota; Metazoa; Arthropoda; Insecta; Diptera; Psychodidae
Description: partial large subunit ribosomal RNA
Source: RNAcentral